GAGAGGACGAUCACCACCACUAGGACUGAGACACGGCCCAGACUCCUACGGGAGGCAGCAGUGGGGAAUUUUGGACAAUGGGGGCAACCCUGAUCCAGCAAUGCCGCGUGUGUGAAGAAGGCCUUCGGGUUGUAAAGCACUUUUGUCCGGAAAGAAAUCGCACUUACUAAUAUUAGGUGUGGAUGACAGUACCGGAAGAAUAAGGACCGGCUAACUACGUGCCAGCAGCCGCGGUAAUACGUAGGGUCCAAGCGUUAAUCGGAAUUACUGGGCGUAAAGCGUGCGCAGGCGGUUGUGCAAGACCGAUGUGAAAUCCCCGGGCUUAACCUGGGAAUUGCAUUGGUGACUGCACGGCUAGAGUGUGUCAGAGGGGGGUAGAAUUCCACGUGUAGCAGUGAAAUGCGUAGAGAUGUGGAGGAAUACCGAUGGCGAAGGCAGCCCCCUGGGAUAACACUGACGCUCAUGCACGAAAGCGUGGGGAGCAAACAGGAUUAGAUACCCUGGUAGUCCACGCCCUAAACGAUGUCAACUAGUUGUUGGGGAUUCAUUUCCUUAGUAACGUAGCUAACGCGUGAAGUUGACCGCCUGGGGAGUACGGUCGCAAGAUUAAAACUCAAAGGAAUUGACG
This 628-nucleotide ribosomal RNA is filed under the name uncultured beta proteobacterium. RNAcentral's name for it is "SSU rRNA". It matches the Rfam family "Bacterial small subunit ribosomal RNA", at positions 294 to 915 of the family's 1533-position model. Lineage: Bacteria; Pseudomonadati; Pseudomonadota; Betaproteobacteria. The record is from RNAcentral.